ACUUGAUCCGAGUGCAGUGGUGUUUACAACUAAUUGAUCACAACCAGUUACAGAUUCCUUUGUUCCUUCCCCACUCCCACUGCUCCACUUGACCAGCCUUAA
Molecule: Y RNA, 102 nt
Filed under: Propithecus coquereli (Coquerel's sifaka)
Lineage: Eukaryota; Metazoa; Chordata; Mammalia; Primates; Indriidae
Description: Y RNA (ENSPCOG00000005842.1)
Rfam family: Y RNA
About the family: Y RNAs are components of the Ro ribonucleoprotein particle (Ro RNP), in association with Ro60 and La proteins.
Source: Rfam by way of RNAcentral